Molecule: ribosomal RNA, 253 nt
Filed under: uncultured bacterium
Lineage: Bacteria
Description: partial 16S ribosomal RNA
Rfam family: Bacterial small subunit ribosomal RNA
Source: RNAcentral
UACGUAGGGUGCGAGCGUUGUCCGGAAUUACUGGGCGUAAAGAGCUCGUAGGUGGUUUGUCGCGUUGUCCGUGAAAACUCACAGCUCAACUGUGGGCGUGCGGGCGAUACGGGCAGACUGGAGUACUGCAGGGGAGACUGGAAUUCCUGGUGUAGCGGUGGAAUGCGCAGAUAUCAGGAGGAACACCGGUGGCGAAGGCGGGUCUCUGGACAUUUCCUGACGCUGAGGCACGAAAGCCAGGGGAGCAAACGGG